Molecule: non-coding RNA, 84 nt
Organism: Emmonsiellopsis sp. PD_5
Lineage: Eukaryota; Fungi; Ascomycota; Eurotiomycetes; Onygenales; Ajellomycetaceae
Source: the annotation of a GenBank genome assembly
GGGCAAUUAGCUCAGUGGUAGUAGCGCUCGCUUUGCAUCUUCCUAAUCUGCGAGAGGUCGGGAUUUCGACUAUCCCAUUGUCCA